AUUGUUAAAAAUUCCGGCUUAGACUCGCGCGUGAGAGAAUAGUGCGACUCUUGUUUAUUCUGAAUCAUUGGCUUGGUCGAAGCGCAGAGAAAUGUGUUACGCCUUAAGAAGGAAGAAAAAGUAAACAAAGUAUCACAGCAUUCCAAGUUACUGACGCUUCCUUGCUGCUUGCAUCUGUCGAUGAUUUCAACAGAACACUUCGACGCGUUGUUGUUCGCGAGACCGAAACCACCUUUUUUUUAUUUUAUCGAUAAUUUUUUUAAAAUGAACUAUGCGGAUAAAAUCUGGGCCCGGUGCACCGUUUUUUCAAUUAAGAGGCUGUGAUCAAAGGUGAAAAGUAUGUGGUCAACGAAGAAAAACAGUUGGGACAAGACUUUUUUGUCGGGUGCCGAAACAGCACCCAGGCUCAAAAUUGAAAAAUUUUGUCAUGGAAAUGAAAAAUGGUGAUUUUGAUACACACAACUAAAAAAAAAGGUUAACGAUUUUUUUUCAAGCUGUAAGAGUGCGCACAGCACAUAGAGAAACCAGAGAAUCAUACACAUCCAAAAGGUGCGAAGACACGCCAAAGAGGAGCCAGUACUCUCGGUACCAAAAUUACCGACGAUCUUAUCAAAAGAGACGGCACAACAACGACCGAUAAAACAGAGCCAAAUCAGUGUGAAUCCGCCCUCCGACAUCGACUUUUCAAAUUUUUUCUAAUUCUAUUUUUUUGUGUGGCGUCGUAAAGUAUUGUAAAAUUUGGAAAAACGUUUAUCAGAUUUGUUAAUUGUUAAAUAAUGAAGAAUGAAAAAUUAGGGUAAAGUUAGCCUCGAAACUUUAUUUUAAAAUCUUCAUUAGAUCAGCCUGUCAAUAGUCGCGCUAUGAGAUUUUCUCUCACAUUCCUUUUUAAGGUAUAAGAAGGUGCGGUUAGAGGAGAGCGUGACAUGGGACUGGCUAUGAGAAAAUCUCUCAUCAUGCAACUAAUGAAGUUCGGUGAGGUAGCGCGACUAUCGACGGGUUAAUUGUGUGUAAACCGAUGCGAAAUCGUUUGUAGAAGUUGAAUAUAAUAAAAACGUUUGUAGAAUGUCUAUUGUCAUGAAAAAACCAAAAAGAAAAUUUGCAGAAAUGUUUCCGAAUUAGUAGCAACGCGCACAACAGUGCUGGAAGGAAAAGUAGAAAUGUACAGUCGCCACUUUUGCUAAAAAGCAUGCCAAAUUAUAUUUCGAGCAUUCUUAUCAAGAAAAAAUAAAAUCACACGUAAUUUCAGGGAGUAGGAAAGAAAUAACGAUAAAUUAAAAAAAAUUAUGCCGUUUUUUUUCAUCGGUUUGUUGUUUGUUGUCGACGCUAUCGCGUUUCUUCAUUGGUGUUGUUCAUUGUGUUAACAUUACUUGUCGUACCAAAAAGGCAGGACGGCGUUCCGUAUUGGAGUAUCGUUGUAACACAAAAAAAAAACUUUAAAAAAGAAAAAAUAACGCAAAGUAUUAAAAGUGCAUUCCUUAAGUGGAAAAAUAAUUUUCAAAAUUAAUUCUAAAAGUAAACAAAUGGAGCUUGUAAAGAAGGGAAUGAAGAAUUGAAAAAAUAUUUUAUCGAGAUCGAUUUCGAUUAUUCAUUCAGCAAGUUCAAUCCUUCAAUUUAGGAGUAGAAAUUCCGCAUGCCAUGAAAUAUUUUUCAAUUUUCCAUUCCUUUUUUUAGAAGCUCCAUUUGUUUACUUUUAGAAUUGAUUUUUGAAAUUAUUUUUCGACCCAAAGUACACGCACUUUUAAUACUUGGUGUUAUUUUUACUUUUUCAAAGUUUUUCCACAGAUGUAAUUUUUUAUGGAAAACGAAACAUAGCAGCAUUUCGGUUCGGACGUGAUGAAAAGUGUUUGACAAGGCUCGAACUUUUAAAUUUGGCGUUAUUUUUACUUUUUGCUCCCUCAUAGAGGAAGCUAUGUGAUGAUGAACAUUUUUUUUUUCCAGUUUUCAAUGUCAAUGUGCUUAAAAUGUGUCAAUGUGCGCGCGCGUGUGAAUCCUACGUUUUGAAAUUUCCAUAAAAAAAGUGUCGACGCUCGAACUUCCGAAAAUUUUAACAUUUAUUACUAAUUUUAUUUUUUAUAAAUAGAUUAUCAUAAUAGGAAGGUGGUAUUGAAUUUGGGAAAUAUUAGUUGAGCGGUUCAAAUUUUAUGAUUUUUUGAAUUUUACGAAAAUAUGAGUUUUUUAAAAUAUCGUAUAACCGCUUUAAUUUUUGAAAAUUUUGUAAGUUAUCGUGUAUAAGUCUGUACUUCAUCUAUUCGCUCCGUACAAGCCUUUGGUGGGGAUAAGCGAAAAACCAUAAACUUCCCCUAGAGAAAAAAGGUUGGGACAAGUACAUUGAUGUUGUCUUGUUUGCUGAUAAUUCCAACCAUAAAAAAUACUAUGAAAUCUUUUUUUUUUAAUUAUAAAAAAAAAUAUUUAACUCGUUGAUAAUAGCGAACAACUUCUUGUCUUAAGGAGCUUCGGUACAGCUUAUCUUUGGGGGGGAUCAGGGUGGCAAAUCCAUUGUAUUCUAGCAGGGCGCCAACUUCUACACUCUCACUUUUUGUUAUUAAGAGUAGGCUUUAUUACAAAUAAUAUGUGUGUAAUUAUGUAUCCAUUCAUAUUUUCUGUAAUGAUGAAUGUUAUAGUUUACUUUACAUAUUAUGGAUAUUUUUUAUGUUAUUUCUAAAAAUUAUCGAAAAAUGUGACGCGAACGUGACAAUGAGCAACUUGAAUGAAAAGUGAUGGGCCGGACAAGUACUUUUAACACAAAUUUAAACAUAAUUUGUACCGAUCCAAUCGACGUCGAAUGUUGUGAAUAAUACCAGGGGAUCCUGAACGUCUGAGAAGAAUCGAUUUUCUUAUAAGUCUCUAUCACCAUAAAGUAACAAAUUACUUUAUCUUUGAUGUAACAUUUUUGGAUUUGAACGCUUUUUAGAACAAUUUUAUAAUGUCGAAAUUGCGAAUUACUAAUAAAAUA
Venturia canescens is the source of this 2953-nucleotide long non-coding RNA. RefSeq lists it as uncharacterized. The transcript has 3 exons. Lineage: Eukaryota; Metazoa; Arthropoda; Insecta; Hymenoptera; Ichneumonidae. The record is from RefSeq and is a predicted model, not a curated record.